RNAcentral lists this ribosomal RNA (440 nucleotides) under uncultured bacterium. RNAcentral describes it as "partial 16S ribosomal RNA". It matches the Rfam family "Bacterial small subunit ribosomal RNA", at positions 338 to 795 of the family's 1533-position model. The record is from RNAcentral.
CCUACGGGAGGCAGCAGUGGGGGAUAUUGCACAAUGGGGGGAACCCUGAUGCAGCGACGCCGCGUGAGCGAAGAAGUACCUCGGUAUGUAAAGCUCUAUCAGCAGGGAAGAAAAUGACGGUACCUGACUAAGAAGCCCCGGCUAAAUACGUGCCAGCAGCCGCGGUAAUACGUAGGGGGCAAGCGUUAUCCGGAUUUACUGGGUGUUAAGGGAGCGCAGGCGGGCUGUCAAGUCUGGCGUGAAAACCGGGGGCCCAACCCCGGGCGUGCAUUGGAAACUGGCGGGCUGGAGUGUCGGAGGGGCAGGCGGAAUUCCUAGUGUAGCGGUGAAAUGCGUAGAUAUUAGGAGGAACACCGGUGGCGAAGGCGGCCUGCUGGACGAAGACUGACGCUGAGGCUCGAAAGCGUGGGGAGCGAACAGGAUUAGAUACCCCAGUAGUC